This 594-nucleotide ribosomal RNA is filed under the name uncultured bacterium. RNAcentral's name for it is "bacterial SSU rRNA". It matches the Rfam family "Bacterial small subunit ribosomal RNA", at positions 9 to 649 of the family's 1533-position model. The record is from RNAcentral.
GAGUUUGAUCAUGGCUCAGAACGAACGCUGGCGGCAGGCCUAAUACAUGCAAGUCGAACGCACUCUUCGGAGUGAGUGGCAGACGGGUGAGUAACGCGUGGGAACCUUCCCAAUGGUACGGAAUAACUCCGGGAAACCGGUGCUAAUACCGUAUAAGCCCCUCGGGGGAAAGAUUUAUCGCCAAUGGAUGGGCCCGCGUCGGAUUAGCUAGUUGGUAAGGUAAUGGCUUACCAAGGCUACGAUCCGUAGCUGGUCUGAGAGGAUGAUCAGCCACACUGGGACUGAGACACGGCCCAGACUCCUACGGGAGGCAGCAGUAGGGAAUCUUGGACAAUGGGCGAAAGCCUGAUCCAGCCAUGCCGCGUGAGUGAAGAAGGCCUUAGGGUUGUAAAGCUCUUUUGGCGGGGACGAUAAUGACGGUACCCGCAGAAUAAGCCCCGGCUAACUUCGUGCCAGCAGCCGCGGUAAUACGAAGGGGGCUAGCGUUGUUCGGAAUUACUGGGCGUAAAGCGCACGCAGGCGGAUUGAUUAGUCGGGGGUGAAAUCCCGGGGCUCAACCUCGGAAUUGCCUUCGAUACUGUCAGUCUUGAGUCC